Molecule: RNase P RNA, 342 nt
Filed under: Candidatus Yanofskyibacteriota bacterium
Lineage: Bacteria; Candidatus Yanofskyibacteriota
Description: RNase P RNA component class A
Rfam family: Bacterial RNase P class A
About the family: Ribonuclease P (RNase P) is a ubiquitous endoribonuclease, found in archaea, bacteria and eukarya as well as chloroplasts and mitochondria. Its best characterised activity is the generation of mature 5'-ends of tRNAs by cleaving the 5'-leader elements of precursor-tRNAs.
Source: RNAcentral
GCAGCACACUAGACGGCUGCUCCCAAGUAAUUGGGAGAGGAAAGUCCGAACACUCCCCCGCCUUGCGGGGUGAAUUGCUCCGGGUAACACCCGGCCGCAGUAAUGCGAGAGGUGCGAGCAGAGACGCGCGUGGCCGAAAGGCUAGGCGAUCCCCUCGGGGAUAGUCCUCUGGAAACAGAGGGGUGAAACGGCUAAAUCCUGGCAGGGUGCAAGAGCAAACCAGGAAAUCUGCGAUCAUGCGGAAAUCCUGGCAACGGUAGCUCGCUUGAUCCUGAAGAGCAAUCUCCAGGACAGAUAGAUGGCCGUCCCAGACAGAAUUCGGCUUAUACGUGUGCUGCAACA